CUCCGGCCACGCUGCAGCCAUGCUGCACCCCCCCUGCCAUGCCUCCCUCCCCCCCAUGGCUGUACAGGGAGGCUGGCAGAGGACAGAGGAGCCUGAGCAGAGGGCUGGAUUGAAAGGAGGAGCCCAAGAGGGGCUGAAGAGAGAAAGAACCCUCAGGAAGGAGGGGCUGAGUCCAGCCUGAACAAGGGAUUGGAAGAUUUUUGCUUGGGAGGACAAGAAAUAAGGUGAUAAAAGGGCUGUUUCUGAAGGGCCAGCAGCAGCACUGUGCUAUCCUACAGGAAACCUCCGGAGCUGCAGAUCCCUGGGCCUGGUGCGCUGCUGGGCGUGAAUGCGAUAGCAGCUCUGAAAAGGGCUGGAAUUGAAGGAGAGAAGAGGAGAAUGCCUUACGAACAGACAGGAGGAAAAAGGGAGUUUGUUCUUUUAAGGGCUUGAUCCUGUGUGCUGAGUGCUGGAGUUGAGAGAACUCAGCACCACACAAAUUUCACUCAGCACCUUGCAAGAUUGGGCCCUACACACUUUCCUCUGAUUAUUGGGGUAAUGCUUUCUUUUCCUAGGGGAAGGUAAACCUACCCUACCAAGCAGGAAUUAUUAUUAAUAAUAACAAUAACAUAUAGCACAUUUCCUUCCAAAGGAAAUCACAGUCAUUGCUUUUACAGUAUGGACAGGGAUAAUCAAACAAGCCACUGAACUGCAGCCAUCUCUGGGGUGGAAACAUAGCCAUCAUUCAGCACUUACAACACUACAAAGCAGUCAGACACAGGGCCGCCCAGGGGACGGGGGCAAGUGGGGCAAUUUUCCCCAGGCCCCGGGCCCCACAGGG
This is a long non-coding RNA of Gopherus evgoodei (Goodes thornscrub tortoise), 820 nucleotides long. RefSeq lists it as uncharacterized. The record is from RefSeq and is a predicted model, not a curated record. NCBI's taxonomy places the organism in Eukaryota, Metazoa, Chordata, Testudines, Testudinidae. The transcript is spliced from 3 exons.